AAUAAGAGGUCCUGCCUGCCCACUGACUAUAAGUUCAACGGCCGCGGUAUUUUAACCGUGCAAAGGUAGCGUAAUCACUUGUUCUUUAAAUAAGGACCCGUAUGAAUGGCAAGACGAGGGCUAGACUGUCUCCUUUUUCCCGUCAAUGAAAUUGAUUUUUCCGUGCAGAAGCGGAAAUCACCCCAUAAGACGAGAAGACCCUGUGGAGCUUCAGAUGAUGAAGACAGACCUUGUCAAAACCCCUAAACAAAAAGACCGAACCAAUAAGGUACUUCUUCUAUAUCUUUGGUUGGGGCGACCGCGGGGAUAAAAACAACCCCCAUGUGGAAUAGGAAGACCAACUUCCCAGAUCCAAGAGCUACCGCUCGAACUCACAGAAUUUCUGACCUAAAGAUCCGGCAACGCCGAUCAACGAACCAAGUUACCCCAGGGAUAACAGCGCAAUCCUCUUCUAGAGGCCCUAUCGACAAGAGGGUUUACGACCUCGAUGUUGGAUCAGGACAUCCUAAUGGUGCAACCGCUAUUAAGGGUUCGUUUGUUCAACGAUUAAAGUCCU
This 556-nucleotide ribosomal RNA is filed under the name Cypho purpurascens (oblique-lined dottyback). RNAcentral's name for it is "partial 16S ribosomal RNA". It matches the Rfam family "Bacterial large subunit ribosomal RNA", at positions 1844 to 2597 of the family's 2925-position model. The record is from RNAcentral. Lineage: Eukaryota; Metazoa; Chordata; Actinopteri; Pseudochromidae.